RNAcentral lists this long non-coding RNA (1178 nucleotides) under Bemisia tabaci. Its description in RNAcentral is "lncRNA ENSASIAIIG008602". Lineage: Eukaryota; Metazoa; Arthropoda; Insecta; Hemiptera; Aleyrodidae. The record is from RNAcentral.
UGCAUCGUUCGUUGAUAAGCGACGACGACGCUUGGGAGUUGAUUUCAGAGAAAACCAGUGGCACCAUCGUGUUUCUCGCGAACUUUUACAUAAGAGACAGCAGUCAAAUCGCAAAUCGCUCACACAUGCAACAUCUCCAUUCAGAAAUGAUCAAUUCAGUGCAGUUCAAGUUCGGGGUGUAGCACCCGUUGUUCCGGCCAUUGAACCUGGAGCAGUCAAAGUUACGGCCCCAGCACCCGUAACUUUUGUUGCCUGGAACGGACGUGCGGAUGGUGUGUAAUAACGUAGAUAUUAUGGAAACGAAUCGUUAUUGAUAUUGACUUUUCAAAAUUACGCUUCAUUCUUCGCAUUAUCGCAAAAUUUUGAAAAUCCUCCAUUGGGAAAGUUCAGUUGUUUUACGAGAACGUCUGCCUUGACAUUUUGACAAUUAUCCAUAUUCGUCAAUAAGUAAUCAUCAGAAAAACAUAGAUUCUCAAGAUCUGUAUGUUGUGUUCGUUUCAAUUAGUGGAAGAUUAAUUGUGUUAUGAUAUCAAGGAACUGAAUUUGGUGUAGCUGAAACUCCAAAUGUGUCAUUGUAAGAGGCUUUAAGGAAAGGAAAGGAGAGAGUUCAAAUUCAGGCUGAAGUAGAACUAAAUGACAGGACAUGAAGCUCUCCCCGAGAGAAUCAUCAUGAAGAAAUAAAAGUCAGAUUUUGGAAUCCAAAAACAUGGCUGGAAAUAGUUAAAAAAAUAUUGGAAGAAUUAGAAGAGAUUCAACAGCACAGAAGGAACGCGUCAACAAUGGGGAACAUUUCUCUAGUCCUCCUCGCACUGGGUGUCAUCCUUUGGCCAAGCGAAAGUCGUAUACUAAAACGGGAAGUUCAAAAGGAGCCUGAGAAUGGUCCGAUGCAAAACUUACAAGCUCGAAUAGAGCCCGACAAAAUCCAGACGGAACCGGAGAUUGUCAGUUUGGAACCCACGGAAGGGGUUAUUGUGGAGCCGUGGACGCGGCGACUACAGCCUAAGAUUUCAAGUUGGACCCCGCAUGGCCAGUCAGCAACCAAUUCGGCGAUCAAAUUGUCAGAGCUAAGUGAUGUUCCCAUGAAGAUUGAACCCUACGAGCAUCUGAAGGUUUCACUUGAAUCACGCAACCGUCGAUCGAAACCCAUGCAAAAAAAGGGAAAUAAAAUCUUCAGUUAG